GUGAAGGAUUAAACAUUUUUAACCCUGAGUUUCCGUAAUGAAGAACAAAGAAGCAACACUCUAAUUUUUUCAUGACG
Small nucleolar RNA from Tuber melanosporum (Perigord truffle), 77 nucleotides. It matches the Rfam family "A. fimigatus snoRNA Afu_298". NCBI's taxonomy places the organism in Eukaryota, Fungi, Ascomycota, Pezizomycetes, Pezizales, Tuberaceae. The record is from Rfam.